This 216-nucleotide long non-coding RNA is filed under the name Lathyrus oleraceus (garden pea). RNAcentral describes it as "Pisum sativum (pea) long non-coding RNA (PSAT_LNC008479)". Lineage: Eukaryota; Viridiplantae; Streptophyta; Magnoliopsida; Fabales; Fabaceae. The record is from RNAcentral.
UGAUAUAGCCUGUUAUAUAGCCAUUUAACUUGAAAGAUUAAAUCAUUCCAUCCUUUUUAGAAUUAGGUAGAAGAAUUUAAUUUCCUUGUCUGAUGAAAAUGUAUAAGUUUGAGGUUGUUAUUGGAAGUUAGCAACGUUUAAGUUUGGUCUUGGGGAACUAUAGAAGUUAAUCAAAAGAAAGAAAAAGAAAAUAAAAAAAUAAGAAGUUAAUUCUUU